GAUCAUGGCUCAGGACGAACGCUGGCGGCAUGCUUAACACAUGCAAGUCGAACGAGAAUCAAUGGAUCAAGGAUUCGUCCAAGUGAAGUUGAGGACAGUGGCGGACGGGUGAGUAACGCGUGAGGAACCUGCCCUUCAGAGGGGGACAACAGUUGGAAACGACUGCUAAUACCGCAUAACGCGUAGAGAUCGCAUGGUCUUUACGCCAAAGAUUUAUCGCUGAAAGAUGGCCUCGCGUCUGAUUAGCUAGUUGGUGAGGUAACGGCCCACCAAGGCGACGAUCAGUAGCCGGACUGAGAGGUUGAACGGCCACAUUGGGACUGAGAUACGGCCCAGACUCCUACGGGAGGCAGCAGUGGGGAAUAUUGGGCAAUGGGCGCAAGCCUGACCCAGCAAUGCCGCGUGAAGGAAGAAGGCUUUCGGGUUGUAAACUUCUUUUGUCAGGGACGAGUAGAAGACGGUACCUGACGAAUAAGCCACGGCUAACUACGUG
This 493-nucleotide ribosomal RNA is filed under the name uncultured bacterium. RNAcentral's name for it is "bacterial SSU rRNA". It matches the Rfam family "Bacterial small subunit ribosomal RNA", at positions 15 to 507 of the family's 1533-position model. The record is from RNAcentral.